This is a long non-coding RNA of Daphnia magna, 1118 nucleotides long. RefSeq lists it as uncharacterized. The record is from RefSeq and is a predicted model, not a curated record. Lineage: Eukaryota; Metazoa; Arthropoda; Branchiopoda; Diplostraca; Daphniidae. The transcript is spliced from 6 exons.
UGGAUUCAUGAACGUGGAGUUACGACCACUUUAAAUCCCUGGUAACCCAAAGUGAAGCCAUUUGUGGGGUCGAGAGACGGAAGAGGUUCGUUUGGAACAGGUUCAAAUCGAAACUUCUUGAUCAAAGCAGCUGUGAAGAGAAAAGCCAUCGUCAUUCAAAUGACGUUCCGGACGGAACACUUCCGGAUCUUUCCAGUACUUGGAAUCCUGGAAUACAGCAUGCAGAUUCAGGCUGACCAAACUUCCCUGGUCAUCAUUGGAAAAAAUACUAUACAUAAUGAGGAGGAGUGAGUGGUGCAAUGGUGCUGCAACGUUGAGCUUCCAUCAGAACUGAUUCAGUAUAAGGUAGACGUCUAUGAAAUCACCAGCUUCAUCGUCUGAUGGAUUUCGUUGUUGAUGAUCUUCAAUAGUUUCCUAUCUCCAACUUCGCCCAUCAUCUGAUCUUCAAUGGAAGUUUUGCCGAACCCCAAGUCUCUGAGAUGUCUCAUAGUGAAUUGACGCUGUUCUUGCCAAAAUUGACCCAUGACAAACAUAAUGCCUGGAGAUGGAUUCCCCAACAGCCAUCAUGACAGCUGAAUCUGGGCGACCGUUAAGGUCGUCAUUAAGCAUCGCUUCUUUCAUCGCUUCGUGACUGCAAACGGAAAUAACAGGCCUGCUGGGCCCCACGUACAAUCCCACCACAGGUCCGUAUACUUCGCUAAUUUUUUUCAUUGCCUUGUGUGGAUAUUGCGGAUCCCACGAUGAAAAAAAGGCAAAUAGCCUACCAGAGGUAAUCCCCUUGGACCUGCGUCUCAUUAGAGGAAAUAUUCUAAUAAUUUAAAUUCGUAAAAGGUCAAUUUUCAGUUUUACCUGGUGGAAAGUUAUGUGGGCGUUUCGUCAUUUUUAAGAUGAAACCGAUGAGCAGAAUCGUUGCACAAAGUUCAAAAAUCAUUCUGUUUCGAUUUUCAGAAUGAAUCUCUCUGAAUUGACGAAUUGACGAAAUAAUCAAAAUGUAUUACUUCGGUCAAUAUUCCCAAUUGCGAUGCUUUAAUGUAUUACACGACAUUUUUUGUAUGUUUUGCUAUAUUGUAAACCAAUAGUGAAAUAACAAUAAAAUAAACUGACACACAACACUUGUA